This is a long non-coding RNA of Amblyraja radiata (thorny skate), 234 nucleotides long. RefSeq lists it as uncharacterized. NCBI's taxonomy places the organism in Eukaryota, Metazoa, Chordata, Chondrichthyes, Rajiformes, Rajidae. The record is from RefSeq and is a predicted model, not a curated record. The transcript is spliced from 3 exons.
CCUGCGGCGGUGUCGUCGGCGGUGUCUGCGGCGGUGUCGUCAGCGGUGUCUGCGGCAGUGUCUGUGACAAUGUCGUCGGCGGUGUCUGCGGCAGUGUCUGCGGCAGUGUCGUCGGCUGUGUCUGCGGAGGUUUCGGUGGCCCUGUCGGGGGCGGUGUCGAAAAGGGGCAGCCUGAGACGCUUCACCAUACUUCGACCGCAGGCUGCGGGCGCUUGGAGCACCCCGACGCGGGAG